AACGAACGCUGGCGGCAGGCUUAACACAUGCAAGUCGAACGCCCCGCCAGGGGAGUGGCAGACGGGUGAGUAACGCGUGGGAAUCUACCCAUCCCUACGGAAUAACGCAUGGAAACGUGUGCUAAUACCGUAUACGCCCUACGGGGGAAAGAUUUAUUGGGGAUGGAUGAGCCCGCGUUGGAUUAGCUAGUUGGUGGGGUAAAGGCCUACCAAGGCGACGAUCCAUAGCUGGUCUGAGAGGAUGAUCAGCCACAUUGGGACUGAGACACGGCCCAAACUCCUACGGGAGGCAGCAGUGGGGAAUAUUGGACAAUGGGCGCAAGCCUGAUCCAGCCAUGCCGCGUGAGUGAUGAAGGCCUUAGGGUUGUAAAGCUCUUUCACCGGAGAAGAUAAUGACGGUAUCCGGAGAAGAAGCCCCGGCUAACUUCGUG
Molecule: ribosomal RNA, 431 nt
Filed under: uncultured bacterium
Lineage: Bacteria
Description: partial 16S ribosomal RNA
Rfam family: Bacterial small subunit ribosomal RNA
Source: RNAcentral